UACGAACUGUGCGAACGUUAUUCGGAAUCACUGGGCUUACAGGGUGCGUAGGCGGUCUGUUAAGUAGGGUGUGAAAGCCCCCGGCUCAACCGGGGAAUGGCGCCCUAAACUGGCGGGCUGGAGUGAGAUAGGGGUGUGCGGAACUUCCGGUGGAGCGGUGAAAUGUGUUGAUAUCGGAAGGAACGCCGGUGGCGAAAGCGGCACACUGGAUCUCAACUGACGCUGAGGCACGAAAGCCAGGGGAGCGAACGGG
Molecule: ribosomal RNA, 253 nt
Filed under: uncultured bacterium
Lineage: Bacteria
Description: partial 16S ribosomal RNA
Rfam family: Bacterial small subunit ribosomal RNA
Source: RNAcentral